GACGAACGCUGGCGGCGUGCUUAACACAUGCAAGUCGAACGGAAAGGCCCUGCUUUUGUGGGGUGCUCGAGUGGCGAACGGGUGAGUAACACGUGAGUAACCUGCCCUUGACUUUGGGAUAACUUCAGGCAACUGGGGCUAAUACCGGAUAGGAGCUCCUGCUGCAUGGUGGGGGUUGGAACGUUUCGGCGGUUGGGGAUGGACUGGCGGCUAAUCAGCUUGUUGGUGGGGUAGUUGCUUACCAAGGCUUUGGCGGGUAGGCCGCCUGAGAGGGUGAACGGCGACAUGGGGACUGAGAUACGGACCAGAGUCCUACGGGAGGCAGCAGUGGAGAAUAUGGCACAGUGGGCGGAAGCCUGAUGCAGCAACGCCGCGUGCGGGAUGAAGGCCUUCGGGUUGUAAACCGCAUUCGCCUGUGACGAAGCGUGAGUGACGGUAAUGGGUAAAGAAGCACCGGCUAACUACGUG
RNAcentral lists this ribosomal RNA (468 nucleotides) under uncultured bacterium. Its description in RNAcentral is "partial 16S ribosomal RNA". It matches the Rfam family "Bacterial small subunit ribosomal RNA", at positions 28 to 507 of the family's 1533-position model. The record is from RNAcentral.